This 229-nucleotide ribosomal RNA is filed under the name uncultured bacterium. Its description in RNAcentral is "partial 16S ribosomal RNA". It matches the Rfam family "Bacterial small subunit ribosomal RNA", at positions 568 to 796 of the family's 1533-position model. The record is from RNAcentral.
UGCGUAGGUGGCAUUGUAAGUCAGAGGUGAAAGCCUACCGCUUAACGGUAGAACUGCCUUUGAUACUGCAGUGCUUGAAUUAGGCUGAGGUUAGCGGAAUGUGACAUGUAGCGGUGAAAUGCGUAGAUAUGUCAUAGAACACCAAUUGCGAAGGCAGCUAACUAGACCUAUAUUGACACUGAGGCACGAAAGCGUGGGGAGCGAACAGGAUUAGAUACCCUGGUAGUCC